GGAAGCAGAGCAUAAAAGCUCAGAAAAUUUGCAGCCUGACAAUGCAAUAGAAAAGAAAAUCCCAUUUCCUGAUGAGAAAUUCAAGAUGGGUAUCCAAC
Long non-coding RNA from Sapajus apella (tufted capuchin), 98 nucleotides. RefSeq lists it as uncharacterized. The transcript is spliced from 3 exons. The record is from RefSeq and is a predicted model, not a curated record. NCBI's taxonomy places the organism in Eukaryota, Metazoa, Chordata, Mammalia, Primates, Cebidae.